AGAGUUUGAUCCUGGCUCAGGAUGAACGCUAGCGGCAGGCUUAAUACAUGCAAGUCGAGGGGCAGCAUGAGUAGCAAUACUUGAUGGCGACCGGCGCACGGGUGCGUAACGCGUAUGCAAUCUACCUUUAACAGAGAGAUAGCCCCGAGAAAUCGGGAUUAAUAUCACAUAAAAUUCAUUUGUGGCAUCACAGGUGAAUCAAAGCUGAGGCGGUUAAAGAUGAGCAUGCGUGACAUUAGCUAGUUGGUGAGGUAACGGCUCACCAAGGCGACGAUGUCUAGGGGUUCUGAGAGGAUGAUCCCCCACACUGGUACUGAGACACGGACCAGACUCCUACGGGAGGCAGCAGUAAGGAAUAUUGGUCAAUGGGCGCGAGCCUGAACCAGCCAUGCCGCGUGCAGGAAGACGGCCUUAUGGGUUGUAAACUGCUUUUGUCGGGGAAUAAACCUGUCUACGUGUAGACAGCUGAAGGUACCCGAAGAAUAAGCAUCGGCUAACUCCGUGCCAGCAGCCGCGGUAAUACGGAGGAUGCAAGCGUUAUCCGGAUUCAUUGGGUUUAAAGGGUGCGCAGGCGGAAUGAUAAGUCAGUGGUGAAAUUCAACGGCUCAACUGUUGACCUGCCAUUGAUACUGUCAAUCUAGAGUAUAGUUGAAGUGGGCGGAAUGUGUCAUGUAGCGGUGAAAUGCUUAGAUAUGACACAGAACACCGAUCGCGAAGGCAGCUCACUAAGCUAAAACUGACGCUCAUGCACGAAAGCGUGGGGAUCAGACAGGAUUAGAUACCCUGGUAGUCCACGCCGUAAACGAUGAUUACUCGAUGUUGGCGAUACACAGUCAGCGUCUGAACGAAAGUAUUAAGUAAUCCACCUGGGGAGUACGUUCGCAAGGAUGAAACUCCAAGGAAUUGACGG
This 910-nucleotide ribosomal RNA is filed under the name uncultured bacterium. Its description in RNAcentral is "bacterial SSU rRNA". It matches the Rfam family "Bacterial small subunit ribosomal RNA", at positions 8 to 916 of the family's 1533-position model. The record is from RNAcentral.